CCUACGGGAGGCAGCAGUAGGGAAUUUUCGGCAAUGGGGGGAACCCUGACCGAGCAACGCCGCGUGAACGAAGAAGUUAUUCGUAAUGUAAAGUUCUUUUAACAGGGAAGAAAGAGAAAUUUGACGGUACCUGAUGAAUAAGCUCCGGCUAACUACGUGCCAGCAGCCGCGGUAAUACGUAGGGAGCGAGCGUUAUCCGGAAUUAUUGGGCGUAAAGGGUGCGUAGAUGGCAUAGUAAGUCUUUUGUAAAAAUGCUGGGCUCAACCCAGUAGGGCAAAAGAUACUGCAAAGCUAGAGUAUGACAGAGGCAAGUGGAACUACAUGUGUAGCGGUAAAAUGCGUAGAUAUAUGUAAGAACACCAGUGGCGAAGGCGGCUUGCUGGGUCGAUACUGACAUUGAGGCACGAAAGCGUGGGGAGCAAACAGGAUUAGAUACCCGAGUAGUC
This 446-nucleotide ribosomal RNA is filed under the name uncultured bacterium. Its description in RNAcentral is "partial 16S ribosomal RNA". It matches the Rfam family "Bacterial small subunit ribosomal RNA", at positions 338 to 795 of the family's 1533-position model. The record is from RNAcentral.